CCCUAGCCCCGAUUGAAGUGUAAAUCCUUUUUAUUUUUUCCUAGAAGGAAAAAUAAAAAGAUUGCAACGGAAAGCGGGAAAAAGC
RNAcentral lists this small RNA (85 nucleotides) under Flavobacteriaceae bacterium 3519-10. RNAcentral's name for it is "Flavo-1 RNA". It matches the Rfam family "Flavo-1 RNA". The record is from Rfam by way of RNAcentral. Lineage: Bacteria; Pseudomonadati; Bacteroidota; Flavobacteriia; Flavobacteriales; Flavobacteriaceae.